GUCAGCUUUAAUAAGUAUUUUAACAAUGAAUCAACAUUUAUUUGAAGACUGAGAUUUAAAUCUUGACCAUAAUGAUAAUCCUGUUAAAGAAUCAACAUUAAUUUAAUGUGAUUUUGCGAUCUGGGUUAGGAUGUUUCAACACUUCUAAAGUGCAGUGAUUUUGAAACACUGCUCAAAGUGUAGUUGAGACCGCCUUUAUGACGGUUCUCAGAUCAGUAUCAUUUUUCACUGAAUUUUUUUAUGAGCACGUUUAUACAGUGAAAAUUCCAGAAGACUCACACAUCUAGAAAAAACAAAGAGUCAGAUCAGCAGAACUCGAGAACACAGACAUGUCUCCUGUAACUGCGACACUCUGCGACACUCUGCGGGACUCUGCUGUGUUUCAGCGUCUUUGUGUUUGUAUCUGCAGACCUGAAAUUGAUCACAGCUGAAUCUGGACAGGACGUCACUCUGACAUGUCGAGCUCCAGACAACAACAUCAAUACUUUAGAAUGGAGCAAACCUGACCUGGGAGAUAAGAAUGUCUAUUUGUACCAGAAUGGCCAAUUCAAACCAGAUCACCAGCAUCCAUCUGUUAGGAACCGGGCGGAUCUGCAGAACAGACAGAUGAUGGAUGGAGACGCGUCUUUGAUUCUGAAGGAUGUGACAAUUGGUGACACUGGAACAUACGAGUGUCGUGUCAACAUGGAAGGAAAAAACCGCAAGGACGCUAAACCCGUCAGUGUCUUCUACCUCCAUGUUGUUCCUCCAGGAGCACACAAAGACAAUAAACCUGUUAAAAUUGACCCUCCACGUGUUGUUCCUCCAGCUCAGAAAGGAGGAUCUGGUGGACUGAAAGCUGGUCUGGUAGUUCCUGCUGUGCUUCUUGUUGCUGCUACUGUUGUUGGUUUUUGAAAAGAAACACCAACAACAGCAGCAACAAGAAGAAAACAGUCUCAAGGUUCAAAUGAGCGUUCUGCUGAACAACAGAGCGGACAACCUCUUCAGACUUAAGAUCAUCAACCAAUAAACAUCAUAGACGUCAAACACUCAGAGUUUGGAUUUCUUUCUCAUUUCUCUGAUGAUCAUCAUGUUCAGACUCAGACCAACAGUGUGUGUCUGUGCUGUCUGUCAGUGAACCUGAACUACAGUUUAUUCAUCUUCAUGUUGUUCAUGAGAUUUACUGACACAAAGUCAAACUGUGUUACAAACAUAAAUGAAUUUAUAUGAUAUUAUCUCAGAAUAUAUGCAUGUUUUGUUUUUUAGCUUCAUGUUCAGCGGCUGGUUGUAAGAAAAACUAAAGAUCAGCUGUUACAGUAUAAUUGUUGUUCUGUGAAUUAUAGACUAUUAAUAAUCUGGCUCAUUGUUCAGCUACAACCACUUUGGUUGACAUUACUUAUUAUUCUCUUUUUGUAUAAAAUGUUGAAUUUUACAGCUUACGGAGCAAAAUUGUGUAAAAGUAAAAAUUUGUGUAGUUACAGACUCAUAUUUCUUCUCUGAUCCUGAACCUUUCUAACCCCUUUCAUUUAACAUUUCCUCCAGUGAAUCUUUGUAAAUCCAAAUUUCUUCAUCUAUGUUAAUAAAGAUUUACAUUUAUACCUGCUCAAGGUU
Astatotilapia calliptera (eastern happy) is the source of this 1590-nucleotide long non-coding RNA. NCBI's taxonomy places the organism in Eukaryota, Metazoa, Chordata, Actinopteri, Cichliformes, Cichlidae. The record is from Ensembl.